UACGGAGGGUGCAAGCGUUAUCCGGAUUUACUGGGUUUAAAGGGUGCGUAGGCGGAUCUUUAAGUCAGUGGUGAAAUCUCUCGGCUCAACCGAGAAACUGCCAUUGAUACUAUUGAUCUUGAAUACAGUUGAGGUGGGCGGAAUGUGUCGUGUAGCGGUGAAAUGCUUAGAUAUGACACAGAACACCGAUUGCGAAGGCAGCUCGCUAAACUGUGAUUGACGCUGAGGCACGAAAGCGUGGGGAGCAAACAGG
Molecule: ribosomal RNA, 253 nt
Filed under: uncultured bacterium
Lineage: Bacteria
Description: partial 16S ribosomal RNA
Rfam family: Bacterial small subunit ribosomal RNA
Source: RNAcentral